AAAAUUCAUUUUCAUUUGCAG
RNAcentral lists this microRNA (21 nucleotides) under Drosophila melanogaster (fruit fly). RNAcentral describes it as "dme-miR-1014-3p". The record is from miRBase by way of RNAcentral. Lineage: Eukaryota; Metazoa; Arthropoda; Insecta; Diptera; Drosophilidae.